RNAcentral lists this ribosomal RNA (460 nucleotides) under uncultured bacterium. RNAcentral's name for it is "partial 16S ribosomal RNA". It matches the Rfam family "Bacterial small subunit ribosomal RNA", at positions 338 to 795 of the family's 1533-position model. The record is from RNAcentral.
CCUACGGGCGGCUGCAGUGAGGAAUAUUGGUCAAUGGGCGCGAGCCUGAACCAGCCAAGUAGCGUGAAGGAUGACUGCCCUACGGGUUGUAAACUUCUUUUAUAAAGGAAUAAAGUGAGGCACGUGUGCCUUUUUGUAUGUACUUUAUGAAUAAGGAUCGGCUAACUCCGUGCCAGCAGCCGCGGUAAUACGGAGGAUCCGAGCGUUAGCCGGAUUUAUUGGGUUUAAAGGGAGCGUAGAUGGGUUGUUAGGUAAGUUGGGAAUGUUUGCGGCUCAACCGUAAAAUUGCAAUUGAUACUGGCAGCCUUGAGUACAGUUGAGGUAGGCGGAAUUCGUGGUGUAGCGGUGAAAUGCAUAGAUAUCACGAAGAACUCCGAUUGCGAAGGCAGCCUACUAAACUGCCACUGACGUUGAUGCUCGAAAGUGUGGGUAUCAAACAGGAUUAGAUACCCGAGUAGUC